AUUUAUAAGAAUAUGAUGUUGGUUCAGAUUAAGCGCUAAAUAAGGACAUGACACAUGCGAAUCAUACGUUUAUUAUUGAUAAGAUAAUAAAUAUGUGGUGUAAACGUGAGUAAUUUUAUUAGGAAUUAAUGAACUAUAGAAUAAGCUAAAUACUUAAUAUAUUAUUAUAUAAAAAUAAUUUAUAUAAUAAAAAGGAUAUAUAUAUAAUAUAUAUUUAUCUAUAGUCAAGCCAAUAAUGGUUUAGGUAGUAGGUUUAUUAAGAGUUAAACCUAGCCAACGAUCCAUAAUCGAUAAUGAAAGUUAGAACGAUCACGUUGACUCUGAAAUAUAGUCAAUAUCUAUAAGAUACAGCAGUGAGGAAUAUUGGACAAUGAUCGAAAGAUUGAUCCAGUUACUUAUUAGGAUGAUAUAUAAAAAUAUUUUAUUUUAUUUAUAAAUAUUAAAUAUUUAUAAUAAUAAUAAUAAUAUAUAUAUAUAAAUUGAUUAAAAAUAAAAUCCAUAAAUAAUUAAAAUAAUGAUAUUAAUUACCAUAUAUAUUUUUAUAUGGAUAUAUAUAUUAAUAAUAAAAUUAAUUUAUUAUUAUUAAUAAUAUAUUUUAAUAGUCCUGACUAAUAUUUGUGCCAGCAGUCGCGGUAACACAAAGAGGGCGAGCGUUAAUCAUAAUGGUUUAAAGGAUCCGUAGAAUGAAUUAUAUAUUAUAAUUUAGAGUUAAUAAAAUUAAUUAAAGAAUUAUAAUAGUAAAGAUGAAAUAAUAAUAAUAAUUAUAAGACUAAUAUAUGUGAAAAUAUUAAUUAAAUAUUAACUGACAUUGAGGGAUUAAAACUAGAGUAGCGAAACGGAUUCGAUACCCGUGUAGUUCUAGUAGUAAACUAUGAAUACAAUUAUUUAUAAUAUAUAUUAUAUAUAAAUAAUAAAUGAAAAUGAAAGUAUUCCACCUGAAGAGUACGUUAGCAAUAAUGAAACUCAAAACAAUAGACGGUUACAGACUUAAGCAGUGGAGCAUGUUAUUUAAUUCGAUAAUCCACGACUAACCUUACCAUAUUUUGAAUAUUAUAAUAAUUAUUAUAAUUAUUAUAUUACAGGCGUUACAUUGUUGUCUUUAGUUCGUGCUGCAAAGUUUUAGAUUAAGUUCAUAAACGAACAAAACUCCAUAUAUAUAAUUUUAAUUAUAUAUAAUUUUAUAUUAUUUAUUAAUAUAAAGAAAGGAAUUAAGACAAAUCAUAAUGAUCCUUAUAAUAUGGGUAAUAGACGUGCUAUAAUAAAAUGAUAAUAAAAUUAUAUAAAAUAUAUUUAAUUAUAUUUAAUUAAUAAUAUAAAACAUUUUAAUUUUUAAUAUAUUUUUUUAUUAUAUAUUAAUAUGAAUUAUAAUCUGAAAUUCGAUUAUAUGAAAAAAGAAUUGCUAGUAAUACGUAAAUUAGUAUGUUACGGUGAAUAUUCUAACUGUUUCGCACUAAUCACUCAUCACGCGUUGAAACAUAUUAUUAUCUUAUUAUUUAUAUAAUAUUUUUUAAUAAAUAUUAAUAAUUAUUAAUUUAUAUUUAUUUAUAUCAGAAAUAAUAUGAAUUAAUGCGAAGUUGAAAUACAGUUACCGUAGGGGAACCUGCGGUGGGCUUAUAAAUAUC
Molecule: non-coding RNA, 1622 nt
Filed under: Saccharomyces cerevisiae (brewer's yeast)
Lineage: Eukaryota; Fungi; Ascomycota; Saccharomycetes; Saccharomycetales; Saccharomycetaceae
Description: ribosomal RNA
Rfam family: Bacterial small subunit ribosomal RNA
Source: RNAcentral